UACGGGGGGGGUAAGCGUUGUUCGGAAUUACUGGGCGUAAAGGGCUCGUAGGCGGCCAACUAAGUCAGACGUGAAAUCCCUCAGCUUAACUGGGGAACUGCGUCUGAUACUGGAUGGCUUGGAUUCGGGAGAGGAAUGCGGAAUUCCAGGUGUAGCGGUGAAAUGCGUAGAUAUCUGGAGGAACACCGGUGGCGAAGGCGGCAUCCUGGACCAAUUCUGACGCUGAGGAGCGAAAGCCAGGGGAGCAAACGGG
Molecule: ribosomal RNA, 253 nt
Filed under: uncultured bacterium
Lineage: Bacteria
Description: partial 16S ribosomal RNA
Rfam family: Bacterial small subunit ribosomal RNA
Source: RNAcentral